AUUGAACGCUGGCGGCAUGCCUUACACAUGCAAGUCGAACGGUAACAGGUCUUCAGAUGCUGACGAGUGGCGAACGGGUGAGUAAUACAUCGGAACGUGCCUAGUAGUGGGGGAUAACUACUCGAAAGAGUGGCUAAUACCGCAUGAGAUCUACGGAUGAAGGCAGGGGAUCGCAAGACCUUGUGCUACUAGAGCGGCCGAUGGCAGAUUAGGUAGUUGGUGGGAUAAAAGCUUACCAAGCCGACGAUCUGUAGCUGGUCUGAGAGGACGAUCAGCCACACUGGGACUGAGACACGGCCCAGACUCCUACGGGAGGCAGCAGUGGGGAAUUUUGGACAAUGGGCGAAAGCCUGAUCCAGCAAUGCCGCGUGCAGGAUGAAGGCCUUCGGGUUGUAAACUGCUUUUGUACGGAACGAAAAGCCCCGGGUUAAUACCCUGGGGUCAUGACGGUACCGUAAGAAUAAGCACCGGCUAACUACGUGCCAGCAGCCGCAAUAC
This 498-nucleotide ribosomal RNA is filed under the name uncultured bacterium. RNAcentral's name for it is "partial 16S ribosomal RNA". It matches the Rfam family "Bacterial small subunit ribosomal RNA", at positions 30 to 526 of the family's 1533-position model. The record is from RNAcentral.